UCCCUGGUGGCUCAGAGGUUAAAGCAUCUGCCUGCAAUGCGGGAGACCUGGGUUCGAUCCCUGGGUCGGGAA
Ovis aries (sheep) is the source of this 72-nucleotide transfer RNA. It matches the Rfam family "tRNA". From Rfam's summary of the family: Transfer RNA (tRNA) molecules are approximately 80 nucleotides in length. Their secondary structure includes four short double-helical elements and three loops (D, anti-codon, and T loops). Lineage: Eukaryota; Metazoa; Chordata; Mammalia; Artiodactyla; Bovidae. The record is from Rfam.